RNAcentral lists this ribosomal RNA (959 nucleotides) under Salmonella enterica. Its description in RNAcentral is "partial 23S ribosomal RNA". It matches the Rfam family "Bacterial large subunit ribosomal RNA", at positions 1273 to 2215 of the family's 2925-position model. RNAcentral also lists the same sequence under 1 other name. The record is from RNAcentral. Lineage: Bacteria; Pseudomonadati; Pseudomonadota; Gammaproteobacteria; Enterobacterales; Enterobacteriaceae.
CUGGAGGUAUCAGAAGUGCGAAUGCUGACAUAAGUAACGAUAAAGCGGGUGAAAAGCCCGCUCGCCGGAAGACCAAGGGUUCCUGUCCAACGUUAAUCGGGGCAGGGUGAGUCGACCCCUAAGGCGAGGCCGAAAGGCGUAGUCGAUGGGAAACGGGUUAAUAUUCCCGUACUUGGUGUUACUGCGAAGGGGGGACGGAGAAGGCUAUGUUGGCCGGGCGACGGUUGUCCCGGUUUAAGCGUGUAGGUGUGUGUUCCAGGUAAAUCCGGUUCACUUUAACACUGAGGCGUGACGACGAGGCACUACGGUGCUGAAGCAACAAAUGCCCUGCUUCCAGGAAAAGCCUCUAAGCAUCAGGUAACACGAAAUCGUACCCCAAACCGACACAGGUGGUCAGGUAGAGAAUACCAAGGCGCUUGAGAGAACUCGGGUGAAGGAACUAGGCAAAAUGGUGCCGUAACUUCGGGAGAAGGCACGCUGACAUGUAGGUGAAGUGAUUUACUCAUGGAGCUGAAGUCAGUCGAAGAUACCAGCUGGCUGCAACUGUUUAUUAAAAACACAGCACUGUGCAAACACGAAAGUGGACGUAUACGGUGUGACGCCUGCCCGGUGCCGGAAGGUUAAUUGAUGGGGUCAGCGCAAGCGAAGCUCCUGAUCGAAGCCCCGGUAAACGGCGGCCGUAACUAUAACGGUCCUAAGGUAGCGAAAUUCCUUGUCGGGUAAGUUCCGACCUGCACGAAUGGCGUAAUGAUGGCCAGGCUGUCUCCACCCGAGACUCAGUGAAAUUGAACUCGCUGUGAAGAUGCAGUGUACCCGCGGCAAGACGGAAAGACCCCGUGAACCUUUACUAUAGCUUGACACUGAACAUUGAGCCUUGAUGUGUAGGAUAGGUGGGAGGCUUUGAAGUGUGGACGCCAGUCUGCAUGGAGCCGACCUUGAAAUACCACCCUUUAAUGUUU